UCUAAAGACAGUAUAGAGCCAAGGA
Molecule: non-coding RNA, 25 nt
Filed under: Mus musculus (house mouse)
Lineage: Eukaryota; Metazoa; Chordata; Mammalia; Rodentia; Muridae
Source: RNAcentral